Molecule: long non-coding RNA, 412 nt
Organism: Corythoichthys intestinalis (scribbled pipefish)
Lineage: Eukaryota; Metazoa; Chordata; Actinopteri; Syngnathiformes; Syngnathidae
Exons: 3
Source: RefSeq, a predicted model, not a curated record
GGGAGAUACUGUAUCAGAAGUUUUUUUUUCAGCCAGCGACCACUGGAAGUAAUACAGUUGACAUUACCAUUACGGUCAACUGUGUGAACUUGUUAACCUGAAUAGGAAGCUGCUUAGACCACCGGAAUCGAGCCAGCCGAGUCGCCGGACCCACGCUGGCGCAGCUCCAACGACCCGGGCCGGCGAGACUCCGACAGUCCAGCCAGAAGGCCAAACUCCGCGCGUUCAUUCAGGUCAACAGCGAUGAAAACAGCAAGGCGAAACAGAAACACUCAGGAGGGGAGGCAACGUCACCCUAUCACACGUCAACAAAAGGUCCAAGUUGAAAAUCAUCAGGUGUGAAUGGGAACUUUUUUGUGGGAAUUGAAUAUGCCUUUUGAAAUGUAUGGGGAUGUUAUGUUCAAUGUUGGCG